This 405-nucleotide ribosomal RNA is filed under the name Escherichia coli. RNAcentral describes it as "bacterial SSU rRNA". It matches the Rfam family "Bacterial small subunit ribosomal RNA", at positions 498 to 905 of the family's 1533-position model. Lineage: Bacteria; Pseudomonadati; Pseudomonadota; Gammaproteobacteria; Enterobacterales; Enterobacteriaceae. The record is from RNAcentral.
UAAUUGUGUGCCAGCCGCCGCGGUAAUACGGAGGAUCCGAGCGUUAUCCGGAUUUAUUGGGUUUAAAGGGAGCGUAGGCCGGCUUUUAAGUCAGCUGUGAAAGUCCGCGGCUCAACCGUGGAAUUGCAGUUGAAACUGGAGGCCUUGAGUGCACACAGGGAUGCCGGAAUUCAUGGUGUAGCGGUGAAAUGCUUAGAUAUCAUGAAGAACUCCGAUCGCGAAGGCAAGUGUCCGGGGUGCAACUGACGCUGAGGCUCGAAAGUGCGGGUAUCAAACAGGAUUAGAUACCCUGGUAGUCCGCACCGUAAACGAUGAAUACUCGUGUCCCGCGAUAUAUUGUGGGACACUUAGCGAAAGCGUUAAGUAUUCCACCUGGGGAGUACGCCGGCAACGGUGAAACUCAAA